Acanthosepion pharaonis is the source of this 109-nucleotide non-coding RNA. NCBI's taxonomy places the organism in Eukaryota, Metazoa, Mollusca, Cephalopoda, Sepiida, Sepiidae. The record is from the annotation of a GenBank genome assembly.
GCCAUAUCACGUUGAAACAUCAGUUCCCAUACAAUCACCAAAGUUAAGCAACGUCGAUCCUGGUUAGUACCUAAAUGGGUGACCGCUUGAGAAUACUAGAUGCUGUAAG